AGGGGCGUCGUCACUUCCAUUCUAAUGUUGAGCGAGUGGUUGGAAAACUAUAAUUCUAUAUUGUACGAAUUAUUCGGCAAAUUAAAUUCUCAAAAUUGACAAUCAGCACUGCUGUCAUUAGGGAAUUGUCAUUAAGUACCUACAGAACAACCAUUAUUUUUAGUUUAUCCUGCACAACGACGAUCACUAAGACGUUUGAUGAAC
RNAcentral lists this long non-coding RNA (204 nucleotides) under Mytilus galloprovincialis (Mediterranean mussel). The record is from RNAcentral. Lineage: Eukaryota; Metazoa; Mollusca; Bivalvia; Mytilida; Mytilidae.